UGAUGAACUGACCCAGAACAAGUAUCUGCCUGACCUGACAAGCUAGGUCAGCCCUUAUCUUGGAGAUCUGGGUGAUGAGGCCAAGUCUGACAAAGCCCUUUGCAAUUUUCCUUCCCAUGUCCCAACCAUGCAACCUCAGUCCAUGGCUUACAUGGUGAGUGCUAACAUGGACCAGGGAGCCACGGACUUCCAGAUAGAGGCCGCCAUCAGCAAAAUCUUUGGCUCGGUGAGGUCCCAGGCAUGCUGGGAGGGAGUCCAGUUUGGGUGCUCAGCUCCCAAAACCAGUCUCAUCUGUUCUUUGUCCCUAGGAGGCAGCCUGGAAGGUGACAGAUGAAUGCAUCCAAAUCAUGGGGGGUAUGGGCUUCAUGAAGGUACAGGACGGUCUUCUGCAGAGCCUCGGCUGGGCCAGGGGUGGGUAGGCACAUCUCAGCACGGGCAUAUAAUUUGUGUGGCCCUGUGCUAGGAACCUGGAGUAGAGCGUGUGCUCCGAGAUCUUCGCGUCUUCCGGAUCUUUGAGGGGACAAAUGACAUUCUUCGGCUGUUUGUGGCUCUGCAGGGCUGUAUGGUAAGAGAGAGAAUUGGGUGGGGGUAGAGGUGGGGAGGACAGUGAGUCCUGACUGCUGGACCCUCUUCCCCCAUAGGACAAAGGAAAGGAGCUCUCUGGGCUUGGCAGUGCUCUAAAGAAUCCCUUUGGGAAUGCUGGCCUCCUGCUAGGAGAGGCAGGCAAACAGCUGAGGCGGUAGGCUUAGGGCCAGAGCCAGGGGAGGGCAGGGUGGUGUAUGGCAACUAACCAGUCAUUCUCCCUCUUCCUCUCAGGCGGGCAGGGCUGGGCAGCGGCCUGAGUCUCAGUGGACUUGUCCACCCAGAGUUGAGUCGGAGCGGCGAGCUGGUAAGUGGCCAGGGGUCCAGGAGAGCCUGCAUCAGGGACUGCAGCUGAUGGCCCCUCUGAGCCCCGCACUGUCCCCAUCUCUUCAGGCAGUACAGGCUCUGGAGCAGUUUGCCACUGUGGUGGAGGCCAAGCUGAUAAAACACAAGAAGGGGAUUGUCAGUAAGUGAGCUCUACACCAUUCCGCCCCUCCCUUUCCUCUCCUUGAGACUAAUGCCCCCACACCCACCCCCACCCCACCUACCGGACAGAUGAACAGUUUCUGCUGCAGCGGCUGGCAGACGGGGCCAUCGACCUCUAUGCCAUGGUGGUGGUUCUCUCGAGGUGAGGAGGCAGGCAGGGAAUGCCUGAGCCGCAGGGGGCCUGGGCCUGGAUCCCAGCCGGCCCAGAUUUAUUUUCAUCUCCUGCUUCCUGCCAGGGCCUCAAGAUCCCUGAGUGAGGGCCACCCCACGGCCCAGCAUGAGAAAAUGCUCUGUGACACCUGGUGUAUCGAGGUGAGACUCGGGGCUGCCAAGCUCAGGUGAGGGCUAGAGGUGCAGGCCCAACCCCUCCUUCCCUCUCCCCAGGCUGCAGCUCGGAUCCGAGAGGGCAUGGCCGCCCUGCAGUCUGACCCCUGGCAGCAAGAGCUCUACCGCAACUUCAAAAGCAUCUCCAAGGCCUUGGUGGAGCGGGGUGGUGUGGUCACCAGCAACCCACUUGGCUUCUGAAUACUCCCGGCCAGGGCCUGUCCCAGUUAUGUGCCUUCCCUCAAGCCAAAGCCGAAGCCCCUUUCCUUAAGGCCCUGGUUUGUCCCGAAGGGGCCUAGUGUUCCCAGCACUGUGCCUGCUCUCAAGAGCACUUACUGCC
Molecule: small RNA, 1732 nt
Filed under: Pan troglodytes (chimpanzee)
Lineage: Eukaryota; Metazoa; Chordata; Mammalia; Primates; Hominidae
Description: retained intron
Source: RNAcentral